Molecule: ribosomal RNA, 329 nt
Filed under: uncultured bacterium
Lineage: Bacteria
Description: bacterial SSU rRNA
Rfam family: Bacterial small subunit ribosomal RNA
Source: RNAcentral
UGCGUAGGUGGUUAGGUUAAGACCUGUGGGAAAGACCUGGGCUUAACCCAGGAAGGUCGCAGGUGACUGCCUGGCUAGAGGGCGGGAGAGGAGCGCGGAAUUCCCGGUGUAGCGGUGAAAUGCGUAGAGAUCGGGAGGAAGGCCGGUGGCGAAGGCGGCGCUCUGGAACGUUCCUGACACUGAGGCACGAAAGCGUGGGGAGCAAACAGGAUUAGAUACCCUGGUAGUCCACGCCCUAAACGAUGGGUACUAAGUGUCGGCGGGUUACCGCCGGUGCCGCACCUAACGGAGUAAGUACCCCGCCUGAGGAGUACGGCCGCAAGGUUGAA